RNAcentral lists this ribosomal RNA (253 nucleotides) under uncultured bacterium. RNAcentral's name for it is "partial 16S ribosomal RNA". It matches the Rfam family "Bacterial small subunit ribosomal RNA", at positions 524 to 776 of the family's 1533-position model. The record is from RNAcentral.
UACGAACUGUGCAAACGUUAUUCGGAAUCACUGGGCUUACAGGGUGCGUAGGCGGCUUGUCAAGUAGGGUGUGAAAGCCCCCGGCUCAACCGGGGAAUUGCGCCCUAAACUGGCGAGCUGGAGUGAGAUAGGGGUGUGCGGAACUUCCGGUGGAGCGGUGAAAUGUGUUGAUAUCGGAAGGAACGCCGGUGGCGAAAGCGGCACACUGGAUCUCAACUGACGCUGAGGCACGAAAGCCAGGGGAGCGAACGGG